Molecule: ribosomal RNA, 1382 nt
Filed under: Durinskia baltica
Lineage: Eukaryota; Dinophyceae; Peridiniales; Kryptoperidiniaceae
Description: partial Bacterial large subunit ribosomal RNA
Rfam family: Bacterial large subunit ribosomal RNA
Source: RNAcentral
UACUAAGGGCGCACGGUGGAUGCCUUGGCAGAAACAGGCGAUGAAGGACGUGGCAAGCUGCGAUAAGCUUCGGGAAGCCGCACACAGGCGUUGAUCCGGAGAUUUCCGAAUGGGGAAACCCACCAUGGUGAUCCCAUGGUAUGUCCUACUGAAUACAUAGGUAGGAACAGGCGAACGGAGGGAAGUGAACCAUCUCAGUACCUCCAGGAGUAGAAAGAAACCUCGAUUCCGAGAGUAGUGGCGAGCGAAAUCGGACAUAGCCCAAACCCGUGAUAUUUCGGUAUCUCGGGGGUUGUAGGGCCUGCACUAGUAGAGUUACCAAUCCAGUCGAUAGCUGAAGACCGUUGGAAAGCGGUCCCAAAGAGCGUGACAGGCGCGUAGGCGAAAUUGAUCUGGACUCGAAGCAGGUACCUGAGUAAGGCGGGGCACGAGAAACCCUGCUUGAAUCCACGGGGACCAUCCCGUAAGGCUAAAUACUCGUUUCUGACCGAUAGUGAACCAGUACCGUGAGGGAAAGGCGAAAAGAACCCCUGUGAGGGGAGUGAAAUAGAUCCUGAAACCGUGCACGUACAAGCAGUCGGAGCCCGCUUUGUUGGGUGACGGCGUACCUUUUGUAUAAUGGGUCAGCGACUUAUUCUCAGUAGCGAGGUUAACCAUCUAGGGGAGCCGUAGGGAAACCGAGUCUGAAUAGGGCGUUUAGUUGCUGGGAAUAGACCCGAAACCGGACGAUCUACCCAUGGGCAGGUUGAAGGUGCGGUAACACGCACUGGAGGACCGAACCGGGAUCUGUUGAAAAAGAUUCGGAUGACCUGUGGGUCGGAGUGAAAGGCUAAUCAAGUCCGGAGAUAGCUGGUUCUCCCCGAAAGCUAUUUAGGUAGCGCCUCGUAUAUCACCACCGGGGGUAGAGCACUGUUUCGGCUAGGGGCCCAUCCCGGGUUACCAAACCGAUGCAAACUCCGAAUACCGGUGAGUGCAGUACGGGAGACACACGGCGGGUGCUAACGUCCGUCGUGGAGAGGGAAACAACCCAGACCGCCAGCUAAGGUCCCCAAAUUCCAGUUAAGUGGGAAACGAUGUGGGAAGGCUUAGACAGCUAGGAGGUUGGCUUAGAAGCAGCCAUCCUUUAAAGAAAGCGUAACAGCUCACUGGUCUAAAUAAGGGUUCCUGCGGCGAAGAUGUAACGGGGCUAAAGAUAUGCACCGAAGCUUAGGGUUCAGAAUUUAUUCUGAGCGGUAGCGGAGCGUUCCGUAAGCGAGCGAAGGAGAAGGGUAACCGACUCUGGACGUAUCGGAAGUGCGAAUGCUGACAUGAGUAGCGACAAAGAGGGUGAGAUGCCCUCUCGCCGAAAGACCAAGGGUUCCUGCGCAACGCUAAUCGGCGCA